GGUUCGAUUCCGGAGAGGGAGCCUGAGAAACGGCUACCACAUCCAAGGGGGGCAGCAGGCGCGCAAAUUACCCAAUCUAGACAGUAGGAGGUGGUGAAGAGAAUUACUAAGUGGUUUCCCUUUGGGUACCAACUUGGAAUGAACGUGAUUUAAGCAAUCCGAUGAGUAACAACUGGAGGGCAAGUCCUGGUGCCAGCAGCCGCGGUAAUUCCAGCUCCAGUAGCGUGACUUAAAGUUGCUGCGUUUAAAACGCUCGUAGUUGGAUCACGCAGUAGCAAUCAGUAAUCUGUGGCUGUGCAAUGCCUCAACCGACUCUGACCACUCGUGGAACGAUCGGAUAGGGUGUAUGGCCGCCGAUACUAAUGCUGAUUACUACUUCUUGCACGUGAGUGUGGAAUUUGUCCUUUAGUGCGACGAGUUUCAUGUCUUACGGAGUGUGCCUUGAAUAAAACAGAGUGCUUAAAGCAGGCGAACGCUUGAAUGUUAUAGCAUGGAACGAAUAAACGUGUUUUUGUGCAUACCAAGUGACGGCGUUACGCAAGUUGUGCCGUUGCAGGUGUGUGCAGCACCCACCUUAAUACGUAUGUUGGUUUUCGUAUACGGUGAUGAUUAAAAGGAGCGGUUGGGGGCAUAGGUAUUUGGCCGCGAGAGGUGAAAUUCUUGGACCGGCCAAGGACUAACAGAUGCGAAGGCGUUUGUCUAGACCGUUUCCAUUAAUCAAGAACGAAAGUGGGAGGUUCGAAGACGAUCAGAUACCGUCCUAGUUCCCACCAUAAACUAUGCCGACCUGGGAUCAGUUUAGUGUAAUACAAGCUCUAGGUUGGUCCCCCUGGGAAACCUCAAGUUUUUCGGUUACGGGGAGAGUAUGGUCGCAAGUCUGAAAUUUAAAGGAAUUGACGGAAGGGCACCACCAGGGGUGGAGCCUGCGGCUUAAAUUGACUCAACACGGGGAAACUUACCUGGUCCGGACAUCGAAAGGAUAAACAGAUUAAUAGCUCUUUUUUGAUGCGAUGAGUGGUGGUGCAUGGCCGUUCUUAGUUCGUGGAGUGAUCUGUCAGGUUUAUUCCGGUAACGAACGAGACCACUGUCUCCAUUUAGGAUGCGAAAGUAGAACCGGGUUACACCGUUUCGGCGGUGGCUAUCUGGUUUGUAGGUAAAGUUGCAGAAUUUACUUGUGAGCAUUGGGUGGGUAACCAUCUGGUGUAAGCUUGGAAAGGAUGUGACUCUCCCAUUCGCAAUGUAGUAAUAGGUAAUACCUGCUAUUACCCUAUGGAGAGACAACAGGUACUUUAAGCCUGAGGAAGUGUGGCUAUAACAGGUCAGUGAUGCCCUUCGAUGUUCAGGGCUGCACGCGCGCUACAAUGAUAACAGCAGCAAGUGUCUGAGUCGAGAGACUUGGGUAAUCUACAAUUGUUAUCGUGAUGGGAAUUGACCGUUGUAAAUCGGUCAUGAAAGAGGAAUCCCUAGUACAUGUGAUUUAAUAAAUCGCAUGGAUUACGUCCCUGCCCUUUGUACACACCGCCCGUCGCUACUACCGAGUGAAUUAUAUCAUGAUGCCCUGGGACUGGACGUUAAACGGGUGUCAAAGCCUGUUGAUGCUAG
Molecule: ribosomal RNA, 1602 nt
Filed under: Thelohanellus sp. p SR-2018
Lineage: Eukaryota; Metazoa; Cnidaria; Myxozoa; Bivalvulida; Myxobolidae
Description: SSU rRNA
Rfam family: Eukaryotic small subunit ribosomal RNA
Source: RNAcentral